This 274-nucleotide ribosomal RNA is filed under the name uncultured bacterium. Its description in RNAcentral is "partial 16S ribosomal RNA". It matches the Rfam family "Bacterial small subunit ribosomal RNA", at positions 523 to 796 of the family's 1533-position model. The record is from RNAcentral.
AUACGGAGGGUGCAAGCGUUAUUCGGAAUCACUGGGCGUAAAGGACGCGUAGGCGGGUUGGCAAGUCAGAUGUGAAAUCCUACAGCUUAACUGUAGAACUGCAUUUGAAACUGCUAACCUAGAGUAUGGGAGGGGGAGAUGGAGUUAGUGGUGUAGGGGUAAAAUCCGUAGAUAUCACUAGGAAUACCGAAAGCGAAGGCGAUCUCCUGGAACAUAACUGACGCUAAGGCGUGAAAGCGUGGGGAGCAAACAGGAUUAGAUACCCUAGUAGUCC